Molecule: long non-coding RNA, 920 nt
Organism: Capsicum annuum
Lineage: Eukaryota; Viridiplantae; Streptophyta; Magnoliopsida; Solanales; Solanaceae
Exons: 2
Source: RefSeq, a predicted model, not a curated record
GAAAAAUACUGCCUCAAAUGCCGGGAAUUUGCAUUUGAAUGCAGCGUCACCGUUUGCGAUUUCCAGCAUGGUGGCGGCGCCGUAGCUCAUCAUAAAACGGGGAAAACUCAACAUCAAAUGGGGCGCCUCCUUCAGGCGACCAAACCCCAUAAAAAAGAUCCAAAAAAUACGGCGUCAAUCGAUGCCAAUUUGAGAUUGAAAAUUUCACUGGCAGCGGCGUGACUCCAAAUCUAAUAAUUUCAACGCCAAUCGAAUCCAAAUGAGGUCAAGAACACAAAUUUUACAAAAGCCCCUUCGAUUUCCUCACAGAACGUGUCCAAUUUUUAAAUUAGGGUUUCAAAACUCCAAUUUCAUGGCGGCGGCGCUCCAACGGCUGUAAAUCAAAAUUGGUCAGUAGAUAUGGUUCAAAAUAUCUCAAGAAAUGUAUCCCUUAUGAAUGUCAGAGCCGAUUUAUCUCAAAUCUCAACCAAUUUGAAAUCUGAUGAAUCAAAGUGUGUUAAAGUUGAAAAUGCAGUGCAUUCAGCUGGGGACCCUAAAUGUAUCUUAAUGACUCUAUAUCCCUUUUGAUGGUUUCGUAUCUUAAUGACUCUAUAUCUGCAGGUUGUUAUGGAAUCAAGUGAAAAACGCUUUUUGAUAGACGCGCAGUGCUGAUCCUACUGAGUUUAUGUCAUGGCUUCUUAAGACCUUGCAUGCUGAUCUUCGAGGCUCAAAAAACAACAGCAACAUAAUUCAAUAGCUGUUGUUCCUGCUACUUAACAGUCCAGAAGCUAGUCCUAGUAGUUAAGAAAGAAGGAAUAUUUAUGCCAUGAGAAGACAAAGUGCCCGAGCUUCUGGAAUGCCUAGCAGAAAUCGAGACAUCAGCUCGAGGAGAGAGUUACCAAGACAGGACGGGGAUGCUGUAUUGGCGCUAAGAUUGCAAA